RNAcentral lists this ribosomal RNA (468 nucleotides) under uncultured bacterium. RNAcentral describes it as "partial 16S ribosomal RNA". It matches the Rfam family "Bacterial small subunit ribosomal RNA", at positions 28 to 507 of the family's 1533-position model. The record is from RNAcentral.
GACGAACGCUGGCGGCGUGCUUAACACAUGCAAGUCGAACGGAAAGGCCCUGCUUUUGUGGGGUGCUCGAGUGGCGAACGGGUGAGUAACACGUGAGUAACCUGCCCUUGACUUUGGGAUAACUUCAGGAAACUGGGGCUAAUACCGGAUAGGAGCUCCUGCUGCAUGGUGGGGGUUGGAAAGUUUCGGCGGUUGGGGAUGGACUCGCGGCUUAUCAGCUUGUUGGUGGGGUAGUGGCUUACCAAGGCUUUGACGGGUAGCCGGCCUGAGAGGGUGAACGGCCACAUUGGGACUGAGAUACGACACAGACUACUACGGGACGCAGCGGUGGGGAAUGUUGUACAAUGGGCGGAAGGCUAAUGCAGCAACGCAAUGUGGGGGGAGACGGCAAGGCGGUUGUAUAGCACAUUCGCCUGUGACGAAGAGUGAGUGACGGUAAUGGGUAAAGAAGCACCGGCUAACUACGUG